RNAcentral lists this ribosomal RNA (524 nucleotides) under uncultured bacterium. Its description in RNAcentral is "bacterial SSU rRNA". It matches the Rfam family "Bacterial small subunit ribosomal RNA", at positions 369 to 883 of the family's 1533-position model. The record is from RNAcentral.
CAAUGGACGAAAGUCUGACGGAGCAACGCCGCGUGAACGAUGAAGGCUUUCGGGUCGUAAAGUUCUGUUGUCAGGGAAGAACAAGUACCGGAGUAACUGCCGGUACCUUGACGGUACCUGACCAGAAAGCCACGGCUAACUACGUGCCAGCAGCCGCGGUAAUACGUAGGUGGCAAGCGUUGUCCGGAAUUAUUGGGCGUAAAGCGCGCGCAGGCGGUUCCUUAAGUCUGAUGUGAAAGCCCCCGGCUCAACCGGGGAGGGUCAUUGGAAACUGGGGAACUUGAGUGCAGAAGAGGAGAGCGGAAUUCCACGUGUAGCGGUGAAAUGCGUAGAGAUGUGGAGGAACACCAGUGGCGAAGGCGGCUCUCUGGUCUGUAACUGACGCUGAGGCGCGAAAGCGUGGGGAGCGAACAGGAUUAGAUACCCUGGUAGUCCACGCCGUAAACGAUGAGUGCUAAGUGUUAGAGGGUUUCCGCCCUUUAGUGCUGCAGCAAACGCAUUAAGCACUCCGCCUGGGGGAGUAC